GUAAAUAAACUCAUUUAAAUAAAUAAAACAGCAGGUCCCCUAGGAAUAUCUUGGUAACACCGUCAGCCCACUCCGAUUUACUAAACGGGCUUGGGGAAUAAAACUCCACUUUUGGGGUCAGGCCCUUCGCUAACUCAGACCAGCCAGACCAGCCUUUUCCCGGAAUCCUGAGAGCAACGCAGGCCAAGGCAAAGUCCCAAAAGGACCAGUGGGGACAUACCGACCAGCUCGCACCAGGGCACGGUCGCCGGCUCCUGACGGCGGGGCCCUCGGUCCGCAAGGUGAAUGAACCAGGGCUGAAAAGAAACAGGCCCUCCUCGCACCCGGGCCUCCGCGCACUCUCGGGGAAGCGAACUACCGUCGGCCGCGGCCGGACGCCGCCUCCUUCUACUCCCUUGAAGGCAAAACAAGCUGCCACCCCGCUGCGACCCCAGAACGGCUUCCGGGUACUCACCGAGGGGAGGGGCGGGCCUGGCCGCUGUCCUGUCACCUACACACUCGCGCUCGGGGCUACCACAGCCUCUCCCGGGCCGCUGUAGACAGCCCCGAGGCCGGCGCUUCUCGGUGGCACUUCCGGCGACGGAGUGCAGGGUGCCGAAUGAGGGCCCCCCCUCCUCCGCCCCGGCAUGAGGGUCCCGGAUGUGGGUGAGAGCCCCGGAUGAGGGUCCCGGAUGUGAGUGAGGGCCCCGGAUGUGAGUGACGGCCCCGGAUAAGGAACUCGGAGGAGGAGCCGGGCCCGCGCGUCCAUGAUUCGAAGGCUCGUUUUCGCAGCUUUUCCACGUCUUUUUCCGGUCCCACCGCCCUCCAUGCUAACUCACUGGGCGUCUCUAGCCGUUAUACCAACAAUGACUGCGACCAAUGUUGGGAAAGCGCCCCCGGGGCCCCUCCCUGACGCCAGCCCAUCCUUGAGACUUCCUGCAAGGAGGCGGCCCGACCCAGUGGGUGCGUGUCGUGGGGUGAGGAGGAAUGGCCGACCUAAUGGUCCCGCUUCCGUGAGUAGCACAGGGGUGCCUGCUCAGAGUGUAGUACAACGCUGACAAGUAGAAGGCGAGGAUUGCGGGGCCUGGGUGAGAUGGGACCCACUAAGUUGUGGGAUCGAAAUCUCAGUAGGUCCUUGGGGAAAGCGGGGACGGGAGGGGAGAUGAGCAGAUUGGAAUGGAACCGAGAGAGACGGAGGAAAGUGACAGUUGCGUCCCUGGUGGGAAGACUAAAAUCUAUGCAGAAACAGGGAUAGGCAAAAGCAUGGUGCACGAGCGGGACAGGCAGAGCGCCGGGACAGAAACCCUUAGGACAUUCUGACACCUUGCUGAACCUGGAUCCUUACAGAAUAUGUCUUGUAGGUGAAGCUAGAUCUGCAAGGCCUAGGCAAGCCUCUUAGAGAAUCAGAAAAGUGAUUUGGAAGGAACUUCAGCUAUUACUACUUUGUUUAAGCAAAUCAAAUGCUGUUCUUUAAUGUUACUUGACGUUUCAAAUUAAACACAAGAAAACUGAA
Molecule: long non-coding RNA, 1492 nt
Organism: Gorilla gorilla gorilla (western lowland gorilla)
Lineage: Eukaryota; Metazoa; Chordata; Mammalia; Primates; Hominidae
Exons: 2
Source: RefSeq, a predicted model, not a curated record